AAAUUGAAGAGUUUGAUCAUGGCUCAGAUUGAACGCUGGCGGCAGGCCUAACACAUGCAAGUCGAACGGCAGCACAGAAGAGCUUGCUCUUUGGGUGGCGAGUGGCGGACGGGUGAGUAAUGUCUGGGAAACUGCCCGAUGGAGGGGGAUAACUACUGGAAACGGUAGCUAAUACCGCAUAACGUCGCAAGACCAAAGUGGGGGACCUUCGGGCCUCACACCAUCGGAUGUGCCCAGAUGGGAUUAGCUAGUAGGUGGGGUAAUGGCUCACCUAGGCGACGAUCCCUAGCUGGUCUGAGAGGAUGACCAGCCACACUGGAACUGAGACACGGUCCAGACUCCUACGGGAGGCAGCAGUGGGGAAUAUUGCACAAUGGGCGCAAGCCUGAUGCAGCCAUGCCGCGUGUAUGAAGAAGGCCUUCGGGUUGUAAAGUACUUUCAGCGGGGAGGAAGGCGGUGAGGUUAAUAACCUCGCCGAUUGACGUUACCCGCAGAAGAAGCACCGGCUAACUCCGUGCCAGCAGCCGCGGUAAUACGGAGGGUGCAAGCGUUAAUCGGAAUUACUGGGCGUAAAGCGCACGCAGGCGGUCUGUUAAGUCAGAUGUGAAAUCCCCGGGCUUAACCUGGGAACUGCAUUUGAAACUGGCAGGCUUGAGUCUCGUAGAGGGGGGUAGAAUUCCAGGUGUAGCGGUGAAAUGCGUAGAGAUCUGGAGGAAUACCGGUGGCGAAGGCGGCCCCCUGGACGAAGACUGACGCUCAGGUGCGAAAGCGUGGGGAGCAAACAGGAUUAGAUACCCUGGUAGUCCACGCCGUAAACGAUGUCGACUUGGAGGUUGUGCCCUUGAGGCGUGGCUUCCGGAGCUAACGCGUUAAGUCGACCGCCUGGGGAGUACGGCCGCAAGGUUAAAACUCAAAUGAAUUGACGGGGGCCCGCACAAGCGGUGGAGCAUGUGGUUUAAUUCGAUGCAACGCGAAGAACCUUACCUGGCCUUGACAUCCAGAGAACUUAGCAGAGAUGCUUUGGUGCCUUCGGGAACUCUGAGACAGGUGCUGCAUGGCUGUCGUCAGCUCGUGUUGUGAAAUGUUGGGUUAAGUCCCGCAACGAGCGCAACCCUUAUCCUUUGUUGCCAGCGGUUCGGCCGGGAACUCAAAGGAGACUGCCGGUGAUAAACCGGAGGAAGGUGGGGAUGACGUCAAGUCAUCAUGGCCCUUACGGCCAGGGCUACACACGUGCUACAAUGGCGCAUACAAAGAGAAGCGACCUCGCGAGAGCAAGCGGACCUCAUAAAGUGCGUCGUAGUCCGGAUUGGAGUCUGCAACUCGACUCCAUGAAGUCGGAAUCGCUAGUAAUCGUAGAUCAGAAUGCUACGGUGAAUACGUUCCCGGGCCUUGUACACACCGCCCGUCACACCAUGGGAGUGGGUUGCAAAAGAAGUAGGUAGCUUAACCUUCGGGAGGGCGCUUACCACUUUGUGAUUCAUGACUGGGGUGAAGUCGUAACAAGGUAACCGUAGGGGAACCUGCGGUUGGAUCACCUCCUUACCUGAA
This 1548-nucleotide ribosomal RNA is filed under the name Pantoea dispersa. RNAcentral describes it as "bacterial SSU rRNA". It matches the Rfam family "Bacterial small subunit ribosomal RNA". Lineage: Bacteria; Pseudomonadati; Pseudomonadota; Gammaproteobacteria; Enterobacterales; Erwiniaceae. RNAcentral also lists the same sequence under 6 other names. The record is from RNAcentral.